GGGGACGAAAUUGGUUUCGACGGGUUACAUGGUGGUAGUGGCUGCAUGUCGAGGAACCCGGUGACCUCGUUAAUCAUCUGGGAAAACAAGUAAACGCAGACAAUUAUGCGUAUGCUCUGGCUGCCUAACUAAGGCGGCCUCGUUCUUUCCGUUUGCGCCCGCUGGGGUGGAAAAGAACGUCGAUACAGCGGGCUAGUCGGUUGUGAUGCUCUGGCGCAACCGGCGAAUCUUACAGAGCUGGGUCGCCUUGGCCUGGUCCCUGCGACAGAGGCGAUCGAGAUUCAAGCAGAAGACUAAACAUGUAGACGCUGCUAUGGCUGGUUUCUCGGACGUGGGUUCAACUCCCACCGUCUCCAC
RNAcentral lists this transfer-messenger RNA (357 nucleotides) under bacterium ADurb.Bin478. RNAcentral's name for it is "transfer-messenger RNA, SsrA". It matches the Rfam family "transfer-messenger RNA". Rfam says of the family: Bacterial tmRNA, also known as 10Sa RNA or SsrA, is named for its dual tRNA and mRNA-like properties. The record is from RNAcentral.